GGGGGGGCGGGGAGGUCCGUGCACUUCUCACUGCAGGGAGAGACGGGUGUGGCAGGAGGGGCCAGAGUGGAGCCAAGUUCAGGGAUAGCAGGUCCCUUGAGGCUCCUCUCCUUUCCCUGUGACACCUGAGCAUCUUCACAACGAGCUUGGCUGAAGGGAACCUUGUCUCAAGGGCACUCGGUUUCUUCCUGGAGAAUGUAAACCUCAGUGUUGCAGUUACUGGAGCUGGUGACCCUGGAGCUCAGAGGGGAUUAAGUGGUCUGUCAGAAAGAGUCAGAGCCCUGCUUAGAAAAGUCAGCUGACUGCCUACCUUUCCUCCAGAUGCCUCUUUCUCCUCUUCUGCCUUUCAAAGAAGCAGUAGUUGCCCCUACUAUGGAAGUCAGGAGAAAAGAGGUAGGAAGGAGAGGAGGUGAGUGCCAUCAUCGGGGGAGACACUUCCUGGCAUAGAAGAAAGAACCCUAAGUAAAGAUCUGCUGAUCUUACAUGAGUCCCUUCCCACCUCUGGGCCUUAGUUUUCCCAUCUGAAAAAUGAGUUUAGUGGUCGGUGUGAUGUUAUGAAAUCUUGGUAGAAGCUCAGCUUGGAUUUUGCUCCUUACCUUCUAGAUGGGGACCCCAAAGGGAAAGGGCUUUCUCAAGACCAAAUGGGAAAUUGGAGGCAGACCAAACAUAACUUUCAGGCCCACUCCUCAUGACCCCUCCAUCCCCCAAGUCAGAACAUUACUUUUUGUCUUCACUCAAAGCCAUGGGGAGCAUUUCAGGGUUUUUAGUCCAGAACAGAGCCCUGGUUCUCUGCUGGGGGAUUGGGGUGUCUUCUUGGCUUUGCAAGUCCCUUUCCAUUUCCAGGCCUCAGCCUCCACGUCUGUACAACAAAGGGGCUGGAUGAGAUGACCUUUCAGAUCCCCCUUAUUUUGGCUUUGACAUUCCACAUUGUCAUCCACUUUCUAAGUUCCUCAAUUGGCUAUAGCUUUAUAUUUUGGGGAAGGAGGUCUAGCUCCUGUUUCCAAACUGUAACAAUCUCUUCUAACUCCUUUGUGCUCAGUAAGAUGCUCUUACUGAGCAUCUGCCAUGAUCAGUGCCCAGGACUGGGCCCUAUUGGGGAAUAUGUAUGGAAUAUACUUAUUGAAUCCACUAUGUGCCUGGUCCUGGGCUUGGUAUUGGCAUAACUUCAUGGAACUUGGAAAUAAUACUUGGGGAAUAAAUAAAAUAAAUAAAAGCCAAUUCAUUCAACAGCUUCUUCUGGGGUACCUACUGUGUGUCUGUCCCUAUACUCAGCAUUAUGUAGGAUAGUAGUAACACAUAUGAAUACAAACUAUGUACUGAGCCCUUCAGGGUUUAAGUGCAUGGUGAAUGAGACUUUCCCAUUGCGUGGGAAUAGCCCAUCAUGAAGUAAAAGGAUAGGCAGAAAGGACCUGUGUUAUAAAGAAU
Molecule: long non-coding RNA, 1425 nt
Organism: Canis lupus familiaris (dog)
Lineage: Eukaryota; Metazoa; Chordata; Mammalia; Carnivora; Canidae
Exons: 4
Source: RefSeq, a predicted model, not a curated record